Molecule: ribosomal RNA, 1143 nt
Filed under: Triticum aestivum (bread wheat)
Lineage: Eukaryota; Viridiplantae; Streptophyta; Magnoliopsida; Poales; Poaceae
Description: partial small subunit ribosomal RNA
Source: RNAcentral
AUGAAAGGAACACAAGCCAUUAGUGUGACUCUUCUCAUGUCAUUUCUUGUUCUAGCGACCAGAGGAAAAGAUGUGAGAUAUAGAAGGCAAGAGGAAGACAGUACCCAGAUUCUCACUUAUCAAGGAGUUAAUAAAACCAUUCAGAUGGAAGACGGAGACGUCUAUGACUGCAUCGAUGUGUACAAGCAACCGGGUUUAAACCACCCAUUGUUGAAAGACCAUAAAAUCCAGAUGAAACCAAGUUCUAUCCCUGUUUGGAUGGAUACCGAAUCAUUUCCUUCGGAUUCUUUUUCACAAGCGGAACCAUCUAUCAUCGAGUGCCCAACAGGAAUAGUUCCAAUACUGCGUAGUAACGGAAGUACCACCAUAGCAACACACAAUAUUGAUGGGCUCAAAAACGAUAUGCAAUGGGAGAGGGCAGGACUCAUAUACAUGGGUGAUUUAUAUGGGGCGCGUGCUUCAUUAAAUAUUUGGGAGCCAAAGGUUAAAGGUAGCCAGGAUUCCAGUGCAAUUUGGAUAAGUAUUGAAAAUAGAAGAGGACAACAGCCUGAUCGGGUGAGCGCCGGUCUUCGGGUAGCUCCAGCAUUGAGUGGUGAUGCUUUUGUUAGACUUCAUGUUGCUUGGUUCGAUGGCUAUUCAAAGAAGGGCUGCAUUGACCACAGCUGUCCUGGAUAUGUGCAAGUCCACCCCCACAUUGGUCCUGGAUCAAGAAUACAACCAUCCUCUGUAUAUGGUGGAGACCAGAGAGUAGCAGACAUUCAAAUAUUCAAGGAGCCGAAAUCAAACUAUUGGUGGGUGAGUUACAAUAACAUAGCAAUUGGAUAUUGGCCGGGUGGGCUGUUCGAAUUCAUUAGAUACAGAGGCGAUUUGGCGUUUUGGGGCGGGCAGGUUGAGGGGCCGACAGCGUCAUCGAAGUCUCCGCAGAUGGGCAGCGGGCAUUUUGCUUCGGAAGGAUUUCGAAAAGCAGCGUUCAUAAGAAAGAUCGAGAUUGCAGACGACACGGUCAAGUUUGCGACCCCAAAUAGAUACAUGGUGGAGAUUGGGUCGAGCGAUCAGUCCAAAUACACCACGGGUGGAUUUGACAUUAGCAAGGAUUUCGGGAUGACUAUUUAUUAUGGUGGACCAGGUUCCAUGAGGUCCUGA